This 216-nucleotide ribosomal RNA is filed under the name uncultured fungus. RNAcentral's name for it is "partial small subunit ribosomal RNA". The stretch from base 94 to 216 matches the Rfam family "Eukaryotic small subunit ribosomal RNA", at positions 739 to 864 of the family's 1831-position model. The record is from RNAcentral. Lineage: Eukaryota; Fungi.
GGCUCCGUUGAAUGGUCUGCCUUCUCGGUAUGCACUGUUCUGGCGGGGUUCUCCCUCUUGGCGAGGCGGUAUGCUCUUAACCGGGUGUAUCGCGGAGCUAGGACUUUUACUUUGAAAAAAUUAGAGUGUUUAAAGCAGGCCCACGCUUGAAUACAUUAGCAUGGAAUAAUAGAAUAGGACUGCGGUUCUAUUUUGUUGGUUUCUAGGACCGAAGUA